RNAcentral lists this long non-coding RNA (283 nucleotides) under Homo sapiens (human). RNAcentral describes it as "HSALNT0121782". Lineage: Eukaryota; Metazoa; Chordata; Mammalia; Primates; Hominidae. The record is from RNAcentral.
GGAACAAAAGGCACCUUUCCAAUUAGAGUUAAUAGUGGGAUAACUUCAGACACACAAAGGGAGAAAAAGGCACUUAUGAGUCAUGGUGAGUUCAAAAGGAAAGUGUUGAGGUGGAAUCACAAAGCAUCAUGGGAAGUGCUAUUCAAGCUACCACGUCAAAAAGCCUGAUUAACAGCAGGUCCAAGUCGGCCUGAUCACCAGGGAGUCUUACUGAUAAAAUUAUUUCCCCUCCAGAGAGAAUCUCCCUGAGCUGAAUAAAUGUUUCACUUCUGAAUAGGAUUCA